Molecule: long non-coding RNA, 657 nt
Organism: Brienomyrus brachyistius
Lineage: Eukaryota; Metazoa; Chordata; Actinopteri; Osteoglossiformes; Mormyridae
Exons: 3
Source: RefSeq, a predicted model, not a curated record
CACGAGUCACGGCAAAGAAAAAAAAGACGGAGAUAUACAAAUCGCCAUUGUUGUAAGGUCAAAGUGGCAUGCGUUCCAGGAUUUCACGAGGCUGUGAACUCAACUGUACAUUUCCGUCUUGUAGGCGGAAAUCCAAAGAGGCAUCUGUGCAGGUGGUUGGAAGAGCAUUCCAGGUGUCUACCACGUGAAGCUGGGCGAGAGAAUUCCAAGAGUGUGAAGGUCUCCAUCAAGACAAAGGGCUAAAAGAAUGUAAAGUAUAAGAUCAGUUUGAUGCCUUUGUUAUUAUUGUGAAAUGUAUAAAAUUGUAAAAAAUAAAGAAAAACUCUCCUAGGAAUAGGCGUGCCCAAACUUUUGACUGGUAUUUUAUAUAUGUAUAUAUCUAUAGGCUGUUUUGCAAAUGUCCUUUAUACGCCCACAUGCUGAGGCAUGUGUUCUCUUUAUAUAUUGCAAGUUAAAGAGAUUUAUUAGUGCCAUGUUUUCUAGUAAGAAGCACAUAUGAUCAUAGGGAUCCAGUUCUCUUAAUUGGAGGUUUCAAAUGAUUGGCCUCAGUGACCUUUUUGGCCUCGGUAACCUUUUCUCUACAGGUGGUGCUGGACAGCGUGAUGCAUGCUAGCUCACAGGCUUUCAGCAUGACACAGCAGCCAUGGUCUGUCUCAC